This 440-nucleotide ribosomal RNA is filed under the name uncultured bacterium. RNAcentral's name for it is "partial 16S ribosomal RNA". It matches the Rfam family "Bacterial small subunit ribosomal RNA", at positions 338 to 795 of the family's 1533-position model. The record is from RNAcentral.
CCUACGGGUGGCAGCAGUGGGGCAUAUUGCACAAUGGGGGAAACUCUGAUGCAGCGACGCAGCGUGAGUGAUGACGUAAUUCGGUAUGUACAGCUCUUUUAGCAGGGAAGAAAAUGACGGUACCUGAGUAUGAUGCCCCGGCUAACUCCGUGCCAGCAUCCGCAGUAAUACGUCGGGUGCAAGCGUUAUCCGGAUUUACUGGGUGUAAAGGGAGCGUAGACGGCAGUGCAAGUCAGGAGUGAAAGGUGUGGGCACAACCGUCAGACUGCACUUGAAACUGUACGGCUUGAGUGCAGGAGAGGUAAGUGGAAUUCCUAGUGUAGCGGUGAAAUGCGUAGAUAUUAGGAGGAACACCAAUGGCGAAGGCAGCUUACUGAACUGUGACUGACGUUGAGGCUCGAAAGCGUGGGGAGCAAACAGGAUUAGAUACCCCGGUAGUC